AACAUAUCACCAAAAAAACAAAUCUUCUCUAUACUUGAAACAAACAGUGCGGCACGUUAAAUUUGCAAUAUCCAGAAAUGAAGAAGGUUGCUGUUUUCUAUUGUCUUCUUGUAAUAAUUCUCAUGUUAUCAAUGGAUGAGUGGUGUCUGCAAAGCCAAGCCAGGAUCUUGGAGUUGUCCCCUAUAAAAUCCCAAGGUAAAUGUUAGUUAAAGAGUAGGACCAACUCAUUUAAAAGUUUAUGUUUUAAGAAAGAAUUUAUUUUUAGUUAUUUAAUUAUAUCUUGUUUAUUUCUACAUAUGCCAAAAGAAGUCAGGAAUGAUUUAAUCCGAGGUCGCAGUAACAGGGUGACUUGGAGCAAUACCAAUCCUUCACCAUAUCCAAAUAUGAGAAGUCAUUAGUAUGAUUCUAAGAGACCCUUAAUUUACUGAUUUCAUUCAUUUUUCUUUCUUUCUUCUUCAUCUACUACUUCUUCUUUUAUUUUAUUCCUGAAAAAUUGCUAAACUGUAAACUCCCUCAUGUGUGCGCAGACGAUGUGGUGACAAUUGCUUUUAGGGCUGCUGAGGAUGGGCAUGGGAAAUACUUCCGGAAAUUUGGGAUGAGAUGGAACAAAAUGGCAUCUACAGGCUGUUUGAGUUUUGAAAUGUUACGUUUACUAUAAAUCGGAAAAGGAUAAUAUUUAAUUACCCCUCUGUUACAAUGUUUAAAUAUAACCUCAGUCUGAGUAUUCGAUUGUAAAUUGCCUCACCAUUACACAUCUAUAUAUUUAUUUAUAUAUAAAGCUGAGAAUUAGC
RNAcentral lists this long non-coding RNA (791 nucleotides) under Nicotiana tabacum (common tobacco). Its description in RNAcentral is "long non-coding RNA (NTAB_LNC001186)". The record is from RNAcentral. Lineage: Eukaryota; Viridiplantae; Streptophyta; Magnoliopsida; Solanales; Solanaceae.